CAGCAGCCGCGGUAAUACGAAGGGUGCAAGCGUUAAUCGGAAUUACUGGGCGUAAAGCGUGCGUAGGCGGUUUGUUAAGUCUGCUGUGAAAUCCCCGGGCUCAACCUGGGAAUGGCAGUGGAUACUGGCAAGCUAGAGUGUGUCAGAGGAUGGUGGAAUUCCCGGUGUAGCGGUGAAAUGCGUAGAGAUCGGGAGGAACAUCAGUGGCGAAGGCGGCCAUCUGGGACAACACUGACGCUGAGGUGCGAAAGCGUGGGGAGCAAACAGGAUUAGAUACCCGCGUAGUCCCUGUCUCUUAUAC
This 301-nucleotide ribosomal RNA is filed under the name uncultured bacterium. Its description in RNAcentral is "partial 16S ribosomal RNA". It matches the Rfam family "Bacterial small subunit ribosomal RNA", at positions 509 to 807 of the family's 1533-position model. The record is from RNAcentral.